AGAGUUUGAUCCUGGCUCAGGAUGAACGCUGGCGGCGUGCUUAACACAUGCAAGUCGAACGAAGCGCUUGGAUGGAAUUCUUCGGAAGGAAGCUCAAGUGACUGAGUGGCGGACGGGUGAGUAACGCGUGGGUAACCUACCUCGUACAGGGGGAUAACAGUUAGAAAUGGCUGCUAAUACCGCAUAAGCACACAGGGCCGCAUGGUCGAGUGUGAAAAACUCCGGUGGUAUGAGAUGGACCCGCGUCUGAUUAGCUAGUUGGUGGGGUAACGGCCUACCAAGGCGACGAUCAGUAGCCGG
Molecule: ribosomal RNA, 300 nt
Filed under: gut metagenome
Description: bacterial SSU rRNA
Rfam family: Bacterial small subunit ribosomal RNA
Source: RNAcentral